AGCAUACGGCCCGAGUUAUCCUACAGUCUCUAUGUUGGAGUCUCAUGGAGCGAUGUGCAGGACAGUGCUACUGUUAUUACUCGUAUACCAAUUUUCAAAAGGAAUGGAACAACCUCAGGCUCCGCAAGGGCCGGAGCAGCAGUUCAACCAGCUUCUCCAGAAUCAAGGGUUGGGCUACCUUGUGGCCGCAAACGCCGAUCCUGCUCAAGUAGAAGCGAGGGGCUGCAUCAAAGAGUGUCAUCAGUCGUUCGGAUUUGUAUACGUGCGUCAAAGAAACAAUUGGAUUCCCGUCGCAACAGGAACAGUCUUGAUCUGGGGUCUGUUUUUCGAAAACGAAUGCGUCUGCGAGCUGACCGGAAAUUUCAAGAGCCUCCUGGGAACGAGAUCCAGAAUAGCUUAUUAUAAUGCUAUUUUCAAAACCUCUGCGUGGGGCUUCAAAAGACUUGUGAGGGUGAAUUUCGAAUGGAGACCGUUCGAUGAUGGGCUGUUGUUCUGUCUCUGGCGCUCAGCACCUCAUCGCGGCCAGUCGCAAAUGGGUGGUUGACAGCGAAAUCUAGCCUCAUCCCGUUUUUUAUCCAUUUAUUUUAAUCCAAGUAUUGCGUUUAACACUAUGUGCUUACAUAUCUUAAAACCUAAAUUAAGAGGAAGAAUGAAUGAACUGGCAUUUUUUUUUUUUUUUUUUACCAUCAGCAAUUAAAGAGAUCCUUGGUGCAUGGGAAGCAACGUUUAGAAUAGAUCGUAUUCGAUAGUGGUUCGAUGUAUCGUUUGGUUCAAAACAAUAGAUCAGAACCUUAAACAAAAAGUUUAGGAUUUAAGUUGGAAAAACUAAAAAGGAUAAAAUUCCUAGUAAUUUUACUCUUCAUAGCCAUUUUGUACGUAUAGGUAUCAAAAAUCUAUGACAAAAAAACCGCUCCCUUGGAUUACUCAAUUGGCUUUUGAGGCUAUGUUUACAUAUUGAACCAAUCGAUAUCGAUACAAUCUUACCUCUUUGCUGUAUCGAUUACGAUCCAUGAGCAGUUAAGACCUUUCAGACAUGAAUCAGUUUGGAGAAUUUUUUUUGAUUUGGAGAAAAUCGAGAUCAGGGAGAGGCCAUUGUACAUUUUUUCAAGGUACGAUAUUUUUCUUCUUCUAAUCAAAAUAAAAAAGCUCCAUUCAAAAAACUUGCAGCUGAUACACUUAUAGCAUGACUUGUAUCCACAAAUAGCUAGAACCCGUUUCAAAUUACUUUUCCUUUUUUGCUAUAUGCGCGGGAUAGGGAAUUACACACAACAAAAGUGGAAAAGUAAUCUAGAACUGGCUCUACUUGAUGUCAUUUUGCAGGCUAAAACACGAGGAUAAUUAAAUAACAUUAGAUAAUUUAUGUCUCCAGUAAUAUCGUAAGAUAAUUUGUAACCAGAAUGGGGAAGGGAAGUUUUAUAUUUGACAAAUGGUUUUGGCAGUAAUAAUCCUCAUAUGUUUUUCAUAAAUAAGGCAACGCUUACUACCAUGGUAAUAAAUUUUCAUUUGACGCUUAAAGAAGAAACAAUAAGUGUAUUGACAUUAAUAUUAAACUAGAAGAAUAUUGUU
This 1566-nucleotide long non-coding RNA is filed under the name Bemisia tabaci. RNAcentral's name for it is "lncRNA ENSASIAIIG012481". The record is from RNAcentral. Lineage: Eukaryota; Metazoa; Arthropoda; Insecta; Hemiptera; Aleyrodidae.